This 69-nucleotide transfer RNA is filed under the name Rattus norvegicus (Norway rat). It matches the Rfam family "tRNA". Rfam says of the family: Transfer RNA (tRNA) molecules are approximately 80 nucleotides in length. Their secondary structure includes four short double-helical elements and three loops (D, anti-codon, and T loops). Lineage: Eukaryota; Metazoa; Chordata; Mammalia; Rodentia; Muridae. The record is from Rfam by way of RNAcentral.
GGGGCUUUAGCUCAGUGGUGGAGCGUUUGCCUAGCAAGCGCAAGGCCCUGGGUUCGGUCCCCAGCUCCG